CUUGAUUUUGAUGAUAACAAAACAAGGUUUAGAACUAAUGAUCAUAUUUCAAGUGUGAUUAGGCAAGACGAUUUCCAAAGUGGCAAUCACAAAGACAAAUCAAGCCAAAUGAGAAAUCAUGAAGAAGAAGACCACCUCAAAGAGAAGAGUUCUUCAAGACCAAAGCUUCAUAAGAUCUCUUUGUAAGGUUGUUGGUGCACUAUGACUUUUAUGC
This 214-nucleotide long non-coding RNA is filed under the name Vitis vinifera (wine grape). RNAcentral describes it as "long non-coding RNA (VVIN_LNC005359)". Lineage: Eukaryota; Viridiplantae; Streptophyta; Magnoliopsida; Vitales; Vitaceae. The record is from RNAcentral.